Molecule: ribosomal RNA, 253 nt
Filed under: uncultured bacterium
Lineage: Bacteria
Description: partial 16S ribosomal RNA
Rfam family: Bacterial small subunit ribosomal RNA
Source: RNAcentral
UACGUAGGCAGCAAGCGUUGUUCGGAGUUACUGGGCGUAAAGGGUGCGUAGGCGGGCAGGUAAGUCCGUGGUGAAAUCUCUGAGCUUAACUCAGAAACUGCCAUGGAUACUAUUUGUCUUGAAUGUUGUGGAGGUAAGCGGAAUAUGUCAUGUAGCGGUGAAAUGCUUAGAUAUGACAUAGAACACCAAUUGCGAAGGCAGCUUACUACACAAAUAUUGACGCUGAGGCACGAAAGCGUGGGGAUCAAACAGG